UACACCUUCAACUACUUUCUCUUCAAGAACUUGAUUGCUUUUCCCCGUCUCUGGUAAGUUUUUUUCUUGUUUUUUGUGUAAAUAUACGUUGUAUUACUUUCGAAUUCUUUUCUUUACUUUUAUUUUUUGCGUUUUUUGUCAAUUUAUGUAUGUUCUAGCUAUGGGCGAUCUAGUGUGGGAUGUCGCUAUUUUACGAGACGACGUACAAGAACUGAAGAGGCAGGUACAUGAUAUACAGUGGGAGUUGGCCGCUGUCAGAGUAAGGAUGUUGCAGG
Molecule: long non-coding RNA, 275 nt
Filed under: Capsicum annuum
Lineage: Eukaryota; Viridiplantae; Streptophyta; Magnoliopsida; Solanales; Solanaceae
Description: long non-coding RNA (CANN_LNC014827)
Source: RNAcentral